AGAGUGAACGCUGGCGGUAGGCCUAACACAUGCAAGUCGAACGGCAGCACAGGAGAGCUUGCUCUCUGGGUGGCGAGUGGCGGACGGGUGAGGAAUACAUCGGAAUCUACCUUUUCGUGGGGGAUAACGUAGGGAAACUUACGCUAAUACCGCAUAAGACCUUCGGGUGAAAGCCGGGGACCGUUCGGCCUGGCGCGGAUAGAUGAGCCGAUGUCGGAUUAGCUUGUUGGCGGGGUAAAAAGCCCACCAAGGCGACGAUCCGUAGCUGGUCUGAGAGGAUGAUCAGCCACACUGGAACUGAGACACGGUCCAGACUCCUACGGGAGGCAGCAGUGGGGAAUAUUGGACAAUGGGCGCAAGCCUGAUCCAGCCAUACCGCGUGGUGAAGAAGGCCUCGGUUGUAAAACCUUUAGUUGGUAAAGAAAGUACCUGACCGGUUAAUAAACCAGUAGGGAAUGACGGUACCCUAAAGAAAUAAAGACACCGGCUAACUUACGUGCCAGCAGCCGC
Molecule: ribosomal RNA, 510 nt
Filed under: uncultured soil bacterium
Lineage: Bacteria
Description: bacterial SSU rRNA
Rfam family: Bacterial small subunit ribosomal RNA
Source: RNAcentral